This is a long non-coding RNA of Juglans microcarpa x Juglans regia, 260 nucleotides long. RefSeq lists it as uncharacterized. NCBI's taxonomy places the organism in Eukaryota, Viridiplantae, Streptophyta, Magnoliopsida, Fagales, Juglandaceae. The record is from RefSeq and is a predicted model, not a curated record. The transcript is spliced from 3 exons.
GUAGUUAGAAAUUCUUCUAUUACUUAUUUAAUUAUAUUACUAUCUUGAUUCAACGAAAUCUUUCAGAAUUUUAUUUCGAGUUAGCAACUUCUAUUUUUUUUUUUGUUCCUUUCUUCUUUUUGGAUUGGAAAAUGGAAUAGUUGGUUAAAUAACAAAUCCAAAGGAGGUUCAUGGCCAAGGGUAAAGAUGUUCGAGUAACAGUUAUUUUGGAAUGUGCCAAAUGUACUCGAAAUGGUGCUAACAUGGAAUCAAUGAGUAUU